UGUGCAUGCAUAGAGAACUCCGC
RNAcentral lists this non-coding RNA (23 nucleotides) under Cricetulus griseus (Chinese hamster). Lineage: Eukaryota; Metazoa; Chordata; Mammalia; Rodentia; Cricetidae. The record is from RNAcentral.